Molecule: non-coding RNA, 3990 nt
Organism: Momordica charantia (bitter melon)
Lineage: Eukaryota; Viridiplantae; Streptophyta; Magnoliopsida; Cucurbitales; Cucurbitaceae
Source: RefSeq, a predicted model, not a curated record
GCCACUUUGGCGGGAAAGAGUUGCAGGAGUCGACGAACAAAUUAUUCUAGGUCAUAUAAUUUUAGUGAAGAAGAUCAACAACAAAGUUUCUCGGCAAAUAUUGCUGACACUUCUCUCGAAUCUUUAGAGAAAAAAAGAAAGAAUGCCGAGAUACAAAAUCCGAGGUAUCGAUGUCGACUUCCCGUUUGAUGCCUACGAUUGCCAGCUCGUUUACAUGGAAAAAGUCAUCCAAUCUCUCCAGGAAAACUGUAAUGCACUUUUAGAGAGUCCAACUGGAACUGGGAAAACACUUUGCCUUCUAUGUGCUACACUGGCCUGGAGGAAGAGUUUAGGUGAUUUCUCAUCUGGUCGGAGUGCAUGGAACAGCCAAAAUGAUGAGGGCAAUGUGAAUGUUUCAACAUCACAGUCUACUUCGACAAAGCCUCUAACCAUUGUGUAUACAACCCGCACUCACAGCCAACUACGGCAAGUUAUUCAAGAGUUGAAGAAAACCUCGUACAGGCCCAAGAUGGUAGUUUUAGGAUCUCGAGAGCAAUUAUGCAUUCACGAUGAAGUGAGUUUACUCCGUGGUAGAACACAAAACAACGCCUGCCGGUCACUCUGCCGGAAACGUGGAAAACGUCAUUGCAACCAUUAUACUCAUGUUUCUGGCUAUAUGAAGAAUAAUCCACAUCUUGGAGAUGAACCUAUUGACAUUGAAGAUCUGGUCAAUAUUGGAAAGAGUUUUGGGCCAUGUCCUUAUUAUGUAUCACGGGAGCUUCACAAGGCUGUUGAUAUAUUGUUUGCUCCGUAUAACUAUCUCAUUGAUCAUGGAUAUAGAAAAUCCCUUGCCCUUGACUGGAAAAACAGUAUACUCAUAUUUGAUGAAGCUCACAACUUGGAAAGCAUAUGUGCAGAUGCAGCCUCUUUUGAUUUGUCUUCUUGGCUUCUGACAGCUUGUAUUUCUGAAGCAAAAAACUGUAUUGAUCUUUCCAUAAAGAGAAGGGAAGACUCAAAUGACAAAUCAAGAAAUCCGGAUAAUUUUGCCAUCCUUAGAGCACUUCUCCUUAAGCUUGAGAAGCGAAUAUCUGAAGUCCCUAUCCAGUCCAAGGAAUUAGGAUUUACUAAGCCUGGACCUUACAUCUAUGAACUACUCGGGGAACUCAAUAUCACUCAUGGCUCUGUCUCUGAUCUUAAACGCAUAAUCGAGGAAGCAGCUACGCUUCUUGAAGAAGACAAGCAACAAAAGAUGCAGAACACAGGCUGUCGGCUGGAAAGCAUUACAGAUAUUCUUGAUAUUAUUUUUAAAGAGAAGGGCAAUGAACAUGCGAAGUUCUAUCAAGUUCAUGUGCAGGAGAAUGAAGCAAGUGCUAUGGAUGGCCUAAAAGGUAAAGCAUCCAGAACACUCAGCUGGUGGUGUUUUAACCCGGGCAUUGCCAUGGAAACAUUUCCCAAAAUGGAAGUCGGCUCUAUUAUUUUGACAUCUGGCACUUUAUCCCCAUUGGAGUCAUUUGCACAGGAAUUGAAACUAGAUUUUCCUAUUCGGUUGGAAAACCCACAUGUCAUAUCUUCAAAUCAGAUAUGGGCUGGAGUUGUACCUGUUGGUCCAUCAGGUUGCGCUUUCAACUCUUCUUACUGGAAUCGUGAGUCUGAAGCAUAUAAGCUAGACCUGGGAAAUGCUAUUGUCAACUUUGCACGAAUUGUUCCUGAUGGUUUGCUUGUCUUCUUUCCAUCUUACUACUUUCUAGACCAAUGCAUUAGUUGCUGGAAGAAUCAGAGUCUUUCCAGUACAACUACAAUUUGGGCAAGAAUCUGCAAGCAUAAGAAGCCUGUUAUAGAACCUCGACAAUCUUCAUUGUUUCCUUCGUCAAUUGAGGACUACAUGUUCAAACUGAAAGAUAAAUCAUCCUCUGGUGCAGUAUUUUUUGCUGUUUGUCGGGGUAAGGUGAGUGAAGGAUUAGAUUUUGCUGAUCAUGCUGGAAGAGCUGUUAUCAUUACUGGCAUGCCUUUUGCUUCAAGGAAUGAUCCAAAGGUUCGCCUGAAGCGCGACUUCUUAGAUCAUCAGUCCUUUUCACAAAGAGGGAAUUGUCGGGUUAUGACGGGAGAGGACUGGUACAACCAACAAGCAUCAAGAGCUGUCAAUCAGGCUGUUGGACGUGUAAUACGUCAUCGCCAUGACUACGGAGCCAUAAUUUUUUGUGAUGAGAGGUUUGCCCAUUCAAGUCGUCAGUCUCAAAUAUCGGUUUGGAUACAGCCUCAUAUCAAGUGUUACUCCAAAUUUGGUGAUGUAGUUUACACAUUGACCCGAUUUUUUCGAGAUGACGUAAAUCAGAUUUGUCCGAAACCAGAAGAUUGUAAUGCAAAAUUUAAACUUGAAGGAGUUGAUACCGCUAGGUUGGAUGAUAUCGCUUGUGCAGGAUCUUCCACUUCAGUAAUUGGAAAAAGGGGAGAAAGUAAAACUGCAAAAUCAUUUGGCGAGGUUUACCUGGAAAAACUUGUUUCUCAGAAGCCAAAGUGUCAAGAUUCUUGGGGAAAGUCUGUGUCUUCCCUGAUUAACAUUAAAGUCAAAGAUGCCAGCCAUUCUAGCUCCUGGAAAGAUGUUCUUCCUGCCAAUAGUCCAUCUGUUACCUCUUUCAACCCUCUAUCUUCCAGAAUAAAAAAUUCAAGUGAUCUAUCACAUCGAGGAAAAAAAUUAGUAUUGUCGGAUAAGGAAUCUUCUCAGUUGCAGAAUCAUGAAGUCAUUGAUUUAACUGGUUUUUCUGUAAUGAAUGAACAAGCAAACAAAAAAUUGUUGGUAGGGUGUGGUGAAAAGAAGCGGAAAUUACUCAGCACAGAGCAUGCUCCUGCAGAAACGAUGAGGAUUUCUACUGGGCCUUCUGGUGCUAAACCAUCUGAACCAAGUAACAUUUCCUUCAAAAUUUGUUCUGUGAAGUCUGAAGCUUCACCAUCUGAUAGCAGAGGCAUGCAAAAUGAUGCUGUUGGUCCAGCAUUGCUACACGUACACGGUAGUAGUCAUACUACGAAGAAGAUGGGUGUAGAGUCUGUCAAUCAGAAUGACAAGAUAAUCAAAUGCAAUCCUGCUCAUCUUGGUGAUGAGGAAGCUAAAGGAUCUGAUUUUCUGAGUCAGGUCAGAGAGAAACUCAGUGCCAGAGAAUACAAGGACUUUGUUGGGUUUAUGAAAGCACUUAAAACCAAAGCAAUGAAAAUAAGCCAAGUUUUGCAGUCCAUUAUAGGAAUAUUUUCAGGACCGGAUAGGCUACAUCUUCGUAAAGGCUUCAAGGAUUAUAUCCCUGCAAAAUAUCAUUCCUUGUACGAGCAGUUUCUUGGGACCAGCACGUGACAUCAAAAUUUAUAGAAGAGUGGCUGCUUGAAGUUCUUUCAGGUUGGUGGUUGAGAGUUUAAUAUCUUACGUUGCAGAAAAGUCCUAGCUGUUGAAUUGCUGAAUCAUAGAACUUGGUAGUUUUGAUGCUCGCAGAACGUGGAACUAAGGAGGAGAGGAAUCGUCUGAGUGUGAAGAUUGGUUCUCUGAAACCCAGUUGUUGCAACUCAGCCAUAUGGUGUAUUUGGAACUUGGAUUGGCUUCCUGGAUUGAUGGCAAGUCUGUGAUAGAGAAGGAUAAAAGAUGCAAAAUGCCCACACACAGCUACCAAUUGCCAGGUAUGUCCACCACCAAACAGAUGUGAGAGAAGGAACAAUUGGGUAAUCUUGUGGUAAGAAAUAGGUUCAUCUUGCGGUUAAAGACGAAUCCCAUCUUGUAAUUGAGAUGAGAAAGAUUUUUUUUUUUUAAAGAAAUAUUUAUUGUUGAUAUAUUCAUCUCGUUGUUCAUAAGAUUAAAAAAAAAAAGUGUUUCAUCCCAGGAUGAACUUUUUUUUUGUUUAGUUUUUUGAGGGCAUCCCAUGAUCCAAAUUAGAGAUCAUAAGUUGGUGUAUUUUUUUUUCGUGUAUUGAGACCUAGAUAAGAUGAGAGACCAUUUUUUUCCCUUUAUAUUUAUCGAAAUCUCUUUAUUGAUCU